UACGUAGGGGGCAAGCGUUGUCCGGAUUUAUUGGGCGUAAAGAGCGUGUAGGCGGUUAGGUAGGUCCGUUGUGAAAACUCGAGGCUCAACCUCGAGACGCCGAUGGAAACCAUCUAACUAGAGUCCGGAAGAGGAGAGUGGAAUUUCGUGUGUAGGGGUGAAAUCCGUAAAUAUACGAAGGAACGCCAAAAGCGAAGGCAGCUCUCUGGGUCCCUACCGACGCUGGGGUGCGAAAGCAUGGGGAGCGAACAGG
Molecule: ribosomal RNA, 253 nt
Filed under: uncultured bacterium
Lineage: Bacteria
Description: partial 16S ribosomal RNA
Rfam family: Bacterial small subunit ribosomal RNA
Source: RNAcentral